Molecule: non-coding RNA, 931 nt
Organism: Camellia sinensis
Lineage: Eukaryota; Viridiplantae; Streptophyta; Magnoliopsida; Ericales; Theaceae
Source: RefSeq, a predicted model, not a curated record
CAUUCUUCUUUGUCUCAUACCUAACUCUUCUCUUCUCCUCUCAUCUCAAACGGCGCUCUCCUCUCGCUGCCGACUACUCCACACAUCGAAAUCGCCGGUGAUCGUCCCUAUUUUCCGUUGAUCUCCACCAAAAAUACAAAGAUUUAGUCAUAUGCGAAAUCAAGUGGAAAGAUCAAGGACGAAACAGGGCAAGAUUAGGAGAUGGCGAGGUUUUUCAAGCCGAGCCAGUUCUUAUUGACCAAUUGGGUGAAUACCGCUACUUGAAUUCCGAACAAAUAAUGCAACAAGCAACUACCAGCACCAUUGAAAGAUUUACGCUGAUGACAAGUGGUUUUGAAGUCGAAUCGUUGUUGCCUACUGUGAGAUAUGAAGAUGAUAUUCAAUCCGCGGAGAGCAAUUUAAGCAUUGAUAUGAAUGAAUUAAUCAAUUUUCUGGAUCUUCCUUCGACUUCAAAUGUUCAGGACCCUGUGAUUGAGUGCACGGAUUUGUCAAAGAGACUGGACAAAAAUUCUGCUGAAGAAAAUGGAUUAUGUGAUGAAAGGUUGGGAAUUGGGUCGAAAGAGUUUAUGGAACAGCUGAUGAAAGGUCAAGAAGAAGACCCUUUCUUGCUUGACACUAGCUAGGUAAAAGAUUUAGAUUUGGAACUAUGAAUUGGAUGAGUUACAUAACAGCAAGACAUUCUGGUUUUUUUUUUUUUGUUUCAGUUGAAUUUCUAAUUAAGCUAUUAACUCCAUGUUUGGGUUUUCUCUGCCUUGGUGAUUGCACAUGAUUGGCUUGGCUCGGUAUGUGCCAACCUAGUUGGGAUAUACUCAAGUCCGCAAUGAUGCAUUUUUAUCACCUUGGCCUCUCUGUAUGUAUAACUUUAAUCUUUAUACAUUAAUAAAAUUUCAGUUUUAAAUGUUCUUACAUUGUUAUUAAUUGUUCAAAAUCA